UCGGGAUGCUCCGUUAUCAGCCAGCUUAGCACAACCGAAACGAUCGCUCUGUUAUUAACAACACGGAUAGCUCUGCCGAAGCAGAGCCUCACAACAUUCCACGACACUCAAAAAUUGCCACGACAUUCGUGCUUGUUCUGCUUUUCACCUGCAAUGGUGGAAGGCUCCACCAAAGGGAAGCCUCCGAAAACCCCACGGCACUCAGAAACCCCACGACACUCGUGCUUUUGUUUCUACCCAGCAAUGGCAUAGCUCUGUGGAAGGGAAAUCUCAAUCCCACGACACUCGUGCUCAUCCUAUAGCUCGGUCUGAGUGGAGAUUCCAGACGUUCUGUGACACUCGUGCUUGUUCUGCUAUUCACCAGCAGUGAGUAGCUCCACUAAGGGGAAGCCUCCAAAAUUCCAUGACACUCAAAAGAUGCCACGACAUCCGUGCUUGUUCUGCUUCUCACCUGCAAUGGUGAAAGGCUCCACUGAAGGGAAGCCUCUGAAAACUCCACGGCAC
Molecule: long non-coding RNA, 504 nt
Filed under: Gallus gallus (chicken)
Lineage: Eukaryota; Metazoa; Chordata; Aves; Galliformes; Phasianidae
Source: RNAcentral